GUUUAUCCAAGAAGUACAGUACACUACAGACUCUGAUAGACAACGAGAAAAGCGACAGUUUGAGCAUGUUUUACGAAGCGUCCAGCGUCAAAGAUCAAAUAUUUUUCGGUAAUCUAUACACGUACACGUUAUCAACUGGUGUAACUGAAACGCAAUGGGCCGUUUGGAGGGAUUACAAGAAGUGGACACAUUGAAAACUGAAACGUUCUCCUUGACGUAUUCUGCCUACAUACCUGAUGAAUGCCGGGAUAAAUCCGAUGAUGAUAGUGAUGAUAGUGAUGACGACGAUGGUGGGAAGAGCAAAUAGAGAGCGUUCAUAACCCGAUCCAGCAAAUAUGAUUCUACCGAGAACAAUAUUAUUGCUUUAUUAUUUGUAUCUUAAUACACUAAAAUUAUUUACUUUAACAUUCACAAGGUUUAGAAAUUAAAAUAUUUUUAUUAUUAAUUAGGCCUAUCUGAAUACUUUUGCGUCAACUCAGAAAUAUUAUAUAACAGUUCGAUGUUUUAAAAUUUAAAACAUAAUUUUCUUAAUUACAUUAACACACAUUUUAAUCAAGAUUUUAAAAAGAAGAAGUAAGUUACAUCAAUCUAGAUAUGUUUAGUAUGAUUUUUCUUAAUACAUUAUGCAUACAUGGGAACUCUGUAAUGUUUACUUGUAAUAUAACAGUUGGGUGUUUUUAAAUUUAAACUUCCGUUUUCCUUAGCAUCACAUGGCAACUCGGUAAUAUAUAUGUUAACAGUUGAAUAUUUUCAAAUUUGAAGUUUGAUUUUCUUAGCAUUUUAAUAUUUAACUUGACUGUUAGAUGUUUCCAAAUUCUGUUCAUAUGGAUCAGCGAAAUAAAAUACUUCUUCCCAAGAUACACGAUUUUUGUUGCGUUUAAUGUUAGGUUCAGACUACCAGCUAUUACGACGGAGUUGGCUAACUCGACGAUUUCUCGACUCCUACCACUGUCCAGUUGCUAGUUUGAGCACUCUUACAACUCGAUUCUCGUCGUAGACAACUCCUAAGACUGUCCAGUUGCUAGUCUGAGCACUCUUACAACUCGAUUCUCGUCGUAGACAACUCCUAAGAUUGUCCAGUUGCUAGUCUGAGCACUCUUACAACUCCAUUCUCGUCGUAGACAACUCCUAAGACUGUCCAGUUGCUAGUUUGAGCACUCUUACAACUCGAUUCUCGUCGUAGACAACUCCUAAGACCGAUUAUUUGUUAAUUUAUCGUCAUAACUCGGGAGUGGGGGGAAAUUACAACGCAACUUCGAGUUAGCCAACUCCGUCGUGACAAUUGAUAGUCUGAAACUGAAAUUUCGGAUGAGAUGACCUAAAAGACUAAAAGACUGGAUGUUGGACAAAAUGUCAAAGGUCAAACUGUGACAUUUCGUCCAAUGACAUUGUGACCACUGACAUUUUGUCUGCACACCAACAGACUACAUAAAACAAUCAGAAUGAGAAUUUAUUUAUUUUACAAAUAUUUCAUACAUCCAUACCUUGUACGUGUACAGUAGCGUAACUCAUACCAAACUAAAUUAACAAUAUUUUGAUUUUUAAUUGCAGCAUGAUAAUAAUAAUAAUAAUGUUUUUUAAAGCCACAAGCCAACAUUGCAACAACCACCCAUAGAUUGCUUCCUAAAAUCUGUACAUAACCGUUAUCUGUAGGUGUCUAGGAUAGCCUUGGAUUUGACUAGAAUACAAUUAUAAACAUAGAUUAUUUGGAUAAUUAUGGCAAGUACCAUACAGUAUGGGUUGAUACAUAGAAUACUUUCACAGUUAUGGCAAGCAACAUAGAUUAGGGGUUGAUACUGUGGCAUGCCAUAAUGGCAGGUUUGCCACACACAUACACACGCACGUGCAUACAUACUUGCACAACUCACACAACUGAAGCCAGCUAGUCACGUGUGUGUGUUACAAGGGGGAGGGGGAUUAAAUUGAACAAAAAACACCCAACAAAUUAUCAGGGUCUUGAAGUGGGGGUGGGGGGCUAUUAUGAGCUUCUUCAUAAAAAAAUAAAUAAGGAGAAACGAAAAAAGGGUAGGAUACCCUAACCCUAACCCUGCUUUCUGGCUCGGAUUCAGGCGGACGCCCAAGCCGCCCCCCCCCCCCCCCCCCCACCCCCCUAUUUUUGUUGAAACAAUAUACAUUACAGAAUACACAAAAAUGCAAAAUAAUCCCGUCCAUCUAUAAAGGACCUUUAAAUUCUAUUUUCAAAAACUACAACAGGUUUUGGUCCCUCUCUAUUAACAAAACCUGGAUCCGCGCCUGGCUUUAGAGUAGUGUUAAAAGUGUGAAAUUAUGUAAGAAUGCAGAGGCUGUUUAUUACUGAGGUGAGUAAAGACACUGGUGACUGUAAAACAUUUUAAAAAACAGUUUACAUCUCCAUACAGAUACACAGACACUUUAUUAUGCAGUAAUUAAAUAGACAACCAAA
Molecule: long non-coding RNA, 2422 nt
Organism: Gigantopelta aegis
Lineage: Eukaryota; Metazoa; Mollusca; Gastropoda; Neomphalida; Peltospiridae
Exons: 4
Source: RefSeq, a predicted model, not a curated record